GUGGGGAAUCUUGCACAAUGGGGGAAACCCUGAUGCAGCGACGCCGCGUGAGCGAUGAAGCCCUUCGGGGUGUAAAGCUCUUUCGGCAGGGAAGAUGGUGACGGUACCUGCAGAAGCAGCUGCGGCUAACUACGUGCCAGCAGCCGCGGUAAUACGUAGGCAGCAAGCGUUGUUCGGAGUUACUGGGCGUAAAGGGUGCGUAGGCGGCCGAUUAAGUUUGUUGUGAAAUCUCCCGGCUCAACUGGGAGGGUGCGGCGAAUACUGAUGGGCUGGAGUGCGGGAGAGGAGAGUGGAAUUCCUGGUGUAGCGGUGAAAUGCGUAGAUAUCAGGAGGAACACCGGCGGUGUAGACGGCUCUCUGGACCGUAACUGACGCUGAGGCACGAAAGCGUGGGUAGCAAACAGGAUUAGAUACCCCAGUAGUCC
Molecule: ribosomal RNA, 425 nt
Filed under: uncultured bacterium
Lineage: Bacteria
Description: bacterial SSU rRNA
Rfam family: Bacterial small subunit ribosomal RNA
Source: RNAcentral